CGAACCCGGAAGUUAAGCCCUCCAGCGCCGAUGGUACUGCACCGGGGACGGUGUGGGAGAGUAGGACACCGCCGGAC
Molecule: ribosomal RNA, 77 nt
Filed under: Herbidospora galbida
Lineage: Bacteria; Bacillati; Actinomycetota; Actinomycetes; Streptosporangiales; Streptosporangiaceae
Source: RNAcentral